GCCUUCGUGGUGUAGUGGUCAGCACACUUGGCGCGUAUUCGAGAGGUCCGUGGUUCGAGUCCCGGUGAGGGCA
Molecule: transfer RNA, 73 nt
Filed under: Stegodyphus mimosarum
Lineage: Eukaryota; Metazoa; Arthropoda; Arachnida; Araneae; Eresidae
Rfam family: tRNA
About the family: Transfer RNA (tRNA) molecules are approximately 80 nucleotides in length.
Source: Rfam by way of RNAcentral